GGAGUCUGUCUCUCCACGUUGAGCUGAUGGGAGCUGGAGGAGGGGUGACAAAACUACCCAUGUGGCCAUCACAUUGGGACUGUGCUACAUCAGACCUGAAGCCAGCACAGCACUGGGUCUUACCCAAGGCCUGCGGCAGUCACUGCCUGAUUCCUGCCGAUGUUCACUCAAGGCCCAUGGUUCUUCAUCAGCAGGUACCAGCUGAAUUCUGCCCUGUGUUGCUUUCUGCUGUGACAAGCAAGACUGAGUUCCAGUGCAGAGUCCCAUAGUCACUGCACUCUCCCUCCCCAAACACACAGAUUCCGUCUUCAUACCAUGCAGCUGAUGCUGGGGAAUGGGAGAGAAGUGAUGUUGACAAUGCAAUACUAUCUUUCUUACCCUCUUCAGUGCCUUUUUCCUUGAUAUGAUGUUAAAACCAGGUUCUCUACUGUGCCCAUGUAACAAAAGACAGAUUAACAAGACAAAAACAUACACAUUUAUUGAAUGUAAGUUUGAAACCUUCAGAAGGAAAUGAAGACCCGAAGAAACAGUUAAACCUGAGUGUUUUUAUACUAACUUCUAUGAAGAGUGGAGAGUUGUAGAAAAUGUGAUAGGACAAUAGGCUGUGAGUCAAGAGUAGUAAACUGGGGAAACUUGGCAAAACCUGUUCAUUUUGGUUCCUCUGGGUAUCCUUUCACCUUUGGAGAUAAAGAUGCUUCUUUUCUCUGGGUAUAGGGAGGGCACCUGUCACAUGAGGAUUUUAUGAUCUGCUUCAGGGGAUGGUCAGUUCUUCCUGCAUCUGCCCUUCCUCAAAUUCCUUUAGCUUAAAAUAUUCAAUAUGCCAAGGUGCCAGAUUUUGGAGUUGCAUGUUCAGAACUCCAUCACAUUCAAGUGUGGAAACUCAGGUUAGCUUGCUUAGUAUUAAUGCAUUAUUCCUCCUUUGGAAAUGUAUGUAUUAUUUAGGAAAAUGGCUUAUGUAUAUUAUUGUAAUUUAAUUUUUUCUGAAAUGUCUAUCCCUUACGUUUUUAGAGAAGCUUAUAUACAUUAAUUUUCAGAGACCUAAAAAUAUUGAAUAAAUACUGUUUGUUGCUUUUAAACAAUCCAUGGGGAGUAGAAAAAUUUUGAUUUUAGUAUUGAUGGUUUACCGUUUCUUGUAGAGAUUCACAGUUCCUCUAUACUUGAUCCAAAGUGUUACCAGUGUCUUUAAGGCAAAUGGCAACACUUGAGCCUGGGAAAGUCAUUUUAUUUCAAUAACUUUUUUUCCCCAAAGCUACAUUGGCUGUUUGAGGAGAAAGUUAUAGAGAAUCAGUUUUUG
Long non-coding RNA from Symphalangus syndactylus (siamang), 1294 nucleotides. RefSeq lists it as uncharacterized. The record is from RefSeq and is a predicted model, not a curated record. Lineage: Eukaryota; Metazoa; Chordata; Mammalia; Primates; Hylobatidae.